UACGUAGGGUGCAAGCGUUGUCCGGAAUUACUGGGCGUAAAGCGUGCGCAGGCGGUUUUGUAAGUCUGAUGUGAAAUCCCCGGGCUCAACCUGGGAAUGGCAUUUGGGACUGCAAGGCUGGAGUACGGCAGAGGAGACUGGAAUUCCUGGUGUAGCAGUGAAAUGCGUAGAUAUCAGGAGGAAUACCGAUGGCGAAGGCAGGUCUCUGGGCUGAUACUGACGCUCAUGCACGAAAGCGUGGGGAGCAAACAGG
This 253-nucleotide ribosomal RNA is filed under the name uncultured bacterium. Its description in RNAcentral is "partial 16S ribosomal RNA". It matches the Rfam family "Bacterial small subunit ribosomal RNA", at positions 524 to 776 of the family's 1533-position model. The record is from RNAcentral.